UAGGGAAUCUUCGGCAAUGGACGAAAGUCUGACCGAGCAACGCCGCGUGAGUGAAGAAGGUUUUCGGCUCGUAAAACUCUGUUGUUAGAGAAGAACAAGGACGUUAGUAACUGAACGUCCCCUGACGGUAUCUAACCAGAAAGCCACGGCUAACUACGUGCCAGCAGCCGCGGUAAUCCGUAGGUGGCAAGCGUUGUCCGGAUUUAUUGGGCGUAAAGCGAGCGCAGGCGGUUCCUUAAGUCUGAUGUGAAAGCCCCCGGCUCAACCGGGGAGGGUCAUUGGAAACUGGGAGACUUGAGUGCAGAAGAGGAGAGUGGAAUUCCAUGUGUAGCGGUGAAAUGCGUAGAUAUAUGGAGGAACACCAGUGGCGAAGGCGGCUCUCUGGUCUGUAACUGACGCUGAGGCUCGAAAGCGUGGGGAGCAAACAGG
This 429-nucleotide ribosomal RNA is filed under the name Gemmatimonadota bacterium. RNAcentral's name for it is "Gemmatimonadetes bacterium partial 16S ribosomal RNA". It matches the Rfam family "Bacterial small subunit ribosomal RNA", at positions 355 to 776 of the family's 1533-position model. Lineage: Bacteria; Pseudomonadati; Gemmatimonadota. The record is from RNAcentral.